GAAAAAGAAGAGAAUUUCAGUUUCAUGAGAGAAAAAAAUAGUAAAAAAAAAGCUGAAGAAAAUUAAAAAAAAAGUCGUUCUUUUUCUUUAAUCUUUCUCUCUCUUUUUUAUCAGUCAUACUGAGUCCAUUCAUCUCAAGAUUGCAAUUACAUAUGCAAAAACACUAAUGUAAAGGAGGGCAAGGAAGAAGGAGUGGGUUUCUAAGGAUCUGGCAUUAUUAAGAAGAGUUUGUUUGAAUUACUGGAUUACUAAACAUGUCUCAGACCAACUGGGAAGCGGAUAAAAUGUUAGAUGUCUAUAUUCAUGAUUAUUUAGUGAAAAGGGAUCUAAAGGCUUCUGCUCAGGCCUUUCAAGCUGAAGGGAAAGUGUCAUCUGACCCUGUUGCUAUUGAUGCUCCUGGUGGUUUUCUAUUUGAAUGGUGGUCUGUAUUUUGGGACAUAUUCAUCGCAAGGACCAAUGAGAAGCACUCGGAAGUUGCUGCCUCUUAUAUCGAGACACAAAUAAUGAAGGCAAGGGAGCAGCAG
RNAcentral lists this unclassified non-coding RNA (524 nucleotides) under Hevea brasiliensis (rubber tree). The record is from RNAcentral. Lineage: Eukaryota; Viridiplantae; Streptophyta; Magnoliopsida; Malpighiales; Euphorbiaceae.